RNAcentral lists this ribosomal RNA (242 nucleotides) under uncultured bacterium. Its description in RNAcentral is "partial 16S ribosomal RNA". It matches the Rfam family "Bacterial small subunit ribosomal RNA", at positions 338 to 594 of the family's 1533-position model. The record is from RNAcentral.
CCUACGGGACGCAGCAGUGGGGGAUAUUGCACAAUGGGGGAAACCCUGAUGCAGCGACGCCGCGUGAGUGAAGAAGUAUUUCGGUAUGUAAAGCUCUAUCGGCAGGGAAGAAAAAAAUGACAGUACCUGACUAAGAAGCCCCGGCUAACUACGUGCCAGCAGCCGCGGUAAUACGUAGGGAGCAAGCGUUAUCCGGAUUUAUUGGGUGUAAAGGGUGCGUAGACGGGAAGGCAAGUUGGUUG